Molecule: RNA transcript, 4048 nt
Organism: Hemicordylus capensis (graceful crag lizard)
Lineage: Eukaryota; Metazoa; Chordata; Lepidosauria; Squamata; Cordylidae
Gene: C4H8orf34
Gene name: chromosome 4 C8orf34 homolog
Exons: 17
Source: RefSeq, a predicted model, not a curated record
UUUGCGAGGGAAGCAGCUCCCCCGUCCGGCCGCGCUUGGAAAGCACACCGCUUUUGCCAUUGGCUUUGCACAAGAGGUGCUGUCGCUAGGGCGGCAGCUUGGCGGCUUCUGACGGAGCCGGAGUCCCUCUCUGUGUAACCAAGGAGCCGGCGUCUUUCGAGCAGCAGACACACAGUGUUGCUGCUGCUGCUGCUUCCACGUCCUCCUCUCCAUGCACCAGGCGCUCUCCCAGCCCGUGGACGCCUAUUUCGACCUCCAUGGAAAGAGAUCCGCCGCCGCCGCCGCCUUCUUCUCGCCUCGCAGCCCGGGUUCGGCUUUAAGGCGCGCGCACUGGCUCGCAGCAGGUACCCGAGUUAGCGCCGCUUUUCAGACUUCGGGAUUUCUCACCCGUCAGACUCUGCCCUGCCGGCUCUUUCCUCCUCCGCUCCAGUCCCCGCUUUGCCGGAGAGCUGGGGAAACGGACCGCAGGAGAAGCAGCAGCUGCAGCAGCAGAACGCCAGUCCCCUCGCCUCGGUCGGUAGUACAGAGCUAACCUGAUGGCGUCUCACCAGCAAAACAGGAUCCAAGCCUACUUGGAGAAGAACAAGAUCGGGCCCCUCUUUGAGGAAUUGAUGACCAAGCUGAUAACUGAGACACCUGAUCACCCAAUCCCAUUUCUGAUUGACCAUCUCCAGUCAAAACAAGGGAGUCGUGGCCAGCUUCAGAGAACAUUAUCUGGAUCUGCUGCACUCUGGGCAGAAAGUGAAAGUUCAGAAAAUAAGGGAACUAGAAGGGAUUCCAGAAGUUAUGAUAAACCCUGGCAGACAAAUGCAAAGAAGCCUAAAAAAUCAAAAAGUGACCUUGCUGUAUCCAACAUUUCUCCUCCAUCACCAGAGUCCAAAUCAUUGCCGAGGUCAAUAGAACACCCCAAAUGGAAUUGGAGAACAAAAUCAGAGCAUCAUGAUUUUGAUGAAUUAAAUCAUAUCCUUCAAGAAAGUAAGAAGCUUGGUAAAGCCCUGGAGAAUCUUUCUCGAAGCAUUGCAGUUUCUGAUGAGCUUGAUAAGGAUGCAGCAGCCUGUAAUGUUCCUCUUCUACGACCCCGUGUUGUUGGUGAAUGGGUUGGCCGUGAAGAGAAUGAUGCAGAUCCAUUGGCUGCUGAAAUGCUGCAACCUCCAAUACCAAGAAGCAAAAUGGAAAAAUGGGAUAGUGAAGACAGCAGCAGUCCUGGAGGAAGUUUAAAGAUGGAACCAAAGACCAAAGGACUGAAACACCAGCAGCAGCAACAUAAGAAACUGCUUGCUGCUAUGCUUUCCCAGGAUUCAUUUGAUUCUGUACAAAGCACAGCACCAUCUGUAACUGAAGAAGAUAUUGACAAUGAAGAUGAUGCAAUGGAACUACUUGAGGAUCUUGAUGAUUUAAGAAUGGAAGGAGUAACUAGUGUCAUUUAUUCUGGGAGCAAAUUUAACCAAGCUCGAAGUAUACACACAGCUGAACCGCAAGCCAAGGUCACAUUGAACAUCUGUGCAAGGUGUGCAAGACUGCAAGGAGAUAACUUGGCAGAAAGAACGGAAGAUGUAUCUGUUGCCUCUCAGACUCAUGAGCAAGAAGUAUCAGAACCUGUUGCUUCAGUACCUGGGGCAGAAAUUUUGAUGGAAAGUAGCGAUCAACUGGAGAAUGUACUCCAAGUAACAGAGCAGUCACAUCAGAAUCAGCCUGUUUGGGAUCCUGACAUUAUGGGUUCCAGAACUGAGGACUCCACAAGCCAGAAACUAUUAAAAGAUUCCUUGGCGGCAAAAGAAUUGCAGACCAUGGAAAAACACCUUGCUGCCCCUCAAUUCCUUGCAAGCGGAGAACCUAGCUGCCCAAAGUUUCUUCUCAGCAGGCAAAUGUCCCAUAUCAUUGCUCCAGCACAAGACAUUGCCAAGGACCUAGCAAUGUGGGAAGAAGGAAGACUAUCAAGGAGUGCCAGUAGCCCACAAACUAAUUUUGUUGCACUAGAUCACCAAGGAAAUUUUAAAGUUGCACCAAGCCAGGAUGCAGGACCUCAAGUGCCAAGUCUGACUGGGAAAGAUAUUCUGCUUCAACUUCAAAGAAACAAAUCACCACCAUUAUCCAGUAACAAUAGACUGCAGGUCUCCAGUGUCACAAACAGUAGGGCGCAAUCUCCCAGUACACAGACCAACAGGUCUGCAGUGUUGCCAGCACCAGGAAGCAGGCCUGCAACCUCAAAUACUUUAUUACAAAGACCUCUUUCCCCUAGCAACAAAGGAAACAAAGAAGGAAUCGUUAAUAUGCAAGGAAGCCAGUCCUUAAUAUCAAAGAACCGACUUGGGAGGACCGUCAGCACUCCCUCAGGGUUCCUUGAAACAAGCGGAGACACUCUAGGAAAUGUCACUCAAAGAAGCAGUUUAUCUGAAGAGGAAUUCUUGCAACAGCUUCAGCUUGCUCACCAGCCAUGGAUUUUGCCAAGUGAUACCGAAAGUGAAGGGGUAGAAAUAGGUCCAGAAAAACGAACGGAGCCAGAAGGCAGUAGCGGAGAACCAAACACAGUUCGAAGAUUGGGCAGCAGGGGUAAAUCCAAAAGGUGCCUGUUCUCAUGUAGCCAGAUUCUUGUAUCAGCAAGGCUUGUUGGGCAGAACAGACCAGCGAAGAAGGCUCAUCUGGAGGCUGAGAGUGGGAAUGGCGCAAAAAGCAAGACAUGGCCUGGUGUUAUGGCUGGUGUCAGGUCAAUCACCCAAACUGGGUGACUCCAAGGUGAACACUGAAACAGGAGGGACAGUCAACAGGAGAACCUUGAACAGUUUGUGGAUGAAAUCAAUUGAAGCAAUGAAGAAUGGUUUCCCAUCAGUAUAUAACCGAUAAGGGAAGAGUUAUUUUCACUCAUUAUGUAUAAUAAAAGCUUAUUUUUAUAAAUUCAACAAAACUAAGUGGAAUUAUUCUAAUGUAUGGAUGCUAAAUUGUUAAAAUGCACUGAACCUCACAUCUUACAGUGCAGUGGCCUUAGGUAAAGGUGGUGACCUGUCACUUUUAAUACAUAGUCCGUAAUAUAAUGUAUUUUGUUUAAUUUAUAACCCUGUUGUUUUGGACUGACAUUUGAUAUAUCAAACUUUGCCUGGUGAAAAGAAAGUUUCCUCAAAGAUUUUAUGCAUUUAACUUGACUAAGGUUUAUACUCCUUAUAUUUUUCUAAACUUUCCCUCAUUUUUAGAUUAAUAAACUUUUAAAGUCUUUAGCCACAUCUGCCAGUAUGUAUGUACAACAUUGGGCCAUCACAGAAGCCCUCUUCAGGCAUUAUGUGAUUGUAUACACUGUACACACCAACAGUUGUGUGCCAGCAGACCCCAGCCCCCACACUGAAACACUCUGUAAACCUGUCUCUUCACUGUCCCCAGCAUUCUUAAUCAUGUGGGGGGAUCUCUCCCUGGGUACAAUGCUUGUCUCUGCAGAUAAACUCUUGCGAUUAUAGACAGUUGAGGGGCAGGGCAGGCAGUGAUUAAGGAACACAUUGGCAUUGGCAGGAGCUUCCAGCACACUUCUGUUGGCAUUAUACAUAACACCUGAAGGGGCCUAGAGAAGGGGCUGUUCACUCAUAAUCACUGCAAAAAUUGGCUGAGACAAUAGCAAGGGGAGAGGAAUUGGACUUUUCACACUGCAUUUACUGAUUUCUAAUUAAAUCUUACAAAACAGACUACAAAAUGAAAUAUAAUGUGGAAUGCAGCAUGCAUAAAUGAAGUGUACUAAUUUCAUAUAUAUGAUAUUAUUUACCCAUAUCCUAAAUGGCUUCAGCAUCUGACAGAUUAUUUGACAAUUUAUUAAAUGUAUUUAUGUGUUUGAGUACUCUAUUCUGUGAGUAUAGAAUUCAUGCAGAGAUGUCUAAUGAAAGAGCAGUCAGAAUGACUGCAUUUUCAGUAUUCAUUUAGCUAUUUAUUUUGUUAAGCAUGGGUUUGGUUUAAUGCCUUCAUUUCUCUUUGAUUUCUGUUUCUCACCCAUAACCAUAUCAUAAAAUUGCCUGCUGUUACAAUAGAUAUGCAUUGCCAAAUUAAGAAAUAAAAAUUAACUUCCUAUUGCAAA